AAAAUCACUCAAUAGUUCGUCCCUUCGGGGACAUCCGAUAAAAUUGGAACGAUACAGAGAAGAUUAGCAUGGCCCCUGCGCAAGGAUGACACGCACAAAUCGAGAAAUGGUCCAAAUUUUUUUGCCAUUUUUUUCCUUCGGAUUUUCCCAGAAAAUCUUCUGCAUCUUUCGUUUUCCUUCUGUUGUUCAGAUUGUAACUCAUACAUAAGUUUCAACCCAAGAUUGAUUGUUGCUUCAAGCAGUGUUAUGCAUUCAGAUUGAUUGUAGUUCAUAAUGGAAUUAGAGAUUGGUCUUCUAGUUAACUCUGUAUCAACAGAAUGCAGAUAUUAUUUCUGGGCUGCACCUGGUUGACGAAUUUCUCAUUCAAGCUGCAACUGGUACGGGUGAGUUAUUAAAUGUCUUGUAGUUUAUCAAAUUCUGUUAACUCUCUUCAAUUUCAUUUUUAGCUUCCAUGAGCAUAAGUUGUAUUGCGACUGCAUUUUAAAACAGUGUCUAGGGUGCGUUUAGCUAGGUACAUUGGAUUGUGUAGCGUGUUAAGAGAGGUAUAACUUAAAAAAUAAGCAGAAGAUGAUUGCUAGUUUGCAAUUAUUAGACAAAGAGAAUGAGAUUGAACUUAAAUGAUUGUAAAGCAAUUUAUUUUUCAUUAUGCAUUCGAGUUUACAUACUAACAGCUGGAAGAAUAAUCUUCAAAGUACAACAACAUAAUCACAUGAUGAUACAUCAAAAGGGAGAAAAAACUUGAUAUAACAAUACUCAGUGUUGUCAAAUAGGGGCUAUAGCAGUACUACAGUGCUAUAACGUAGCGGAAUUUGAAUUAAUCGCUAUUGUUCCGCGUAACACUGUUUAGUACAAAGUGUUGUUAAAUAGUGGCUUUAGCAGUGCGGAAUUUGAACGAACCACUAUUUUCGGCAAUCCGCAAUUGACAACAUUGACGAUACUGGAUACAACACUAGCACGUAUAAAUGGAGCAGUCCAAGACUAUCUAUCACUAUAGUAUAGAGAAGUCUUCGUGUCCUAAAAAACAGACAAUUGAUCCUAAAAGGAUGAAAAGUGAUGUAAACGUAAUGCUACACAAUGAAAUUUAUUUUUGUAAUAUAUAUCCUCAAGACAAUGAGCGGCCUCUGAGAAAACGCCAGGGUCCUGUUCUCGUUCCCAUCCUGCAUAUGCAUUCGACAUGUUUGUAAAACAAUAUUGUAUAAUAGAAUUAUAAGAUCUUUGAAGAAGAAGAGUUACCAUAAAUAAUUUUAUGAAUGUUUUGUAAAGAAUAUAAGGAAAGUUUACCUCCAUACACCAGCAAACAUACGAAGACUCAUAUAGAUGGUUAGAGCAAUCCAGAUCCCAAUAAAACCCUUACUCUUGUAGAGAAUAAAUAAUGAAGUAACACUGGCUAAUGAGACCAGAACCUGAAAAAAUAGCAAAAAAAAUUUAUAAAUAAAUAUGUAUAGAUCAAGAUGACAAAAUACGAAAAAAUUUAGGAAGUAAAUGAGCAUGAAAACUUGCCAAGGAGUAUGCAGAAUAAGCAAAAUCAGAUGCUCCAUAGUUCACACCAUCAAAGACAAAAGCUAAUGAAUUGAUAGGUUGUGUAGCAGCAACAAACUGGCGAGUUAAAAUGAAAUUAGAUAAAACUAGAACACAAAAAAUUAGAUGUAAUUCACUAGUAUAACUAACUUUUACACCUAAUAUAAAACAUAACAAACUAAUCCAUUGUGUUGUGCUAGGAAAAUAUACCGGGAUGCCUAGUCUGAUUAGGUGAAUAACAGCAACGUCUUUUGAAAAUACUCCAGCUCCAAAGUACAAUCCACCCCCAACUACAAGAGAGAGUCCAACUCCUAAAACAAAACUCAUUUGCAGUGUCCUUGUUGCUGCAGUAGUCACUUUAUCAUAGUCUUUCUCAGCAAAUGAACAUGCUAGAAUUGCCUGUUAGAAAGGGAAACUUAAUCAGUAAGUACAUUAAUGCUUAUUUAACUUUCAUUAUAUCUUGUCAAAAAAAAAAAAAAACUUUCAUUACAUUUUUGCACAAAGAAGUGUAUAUCUUACAUCUCAAUAACAAGAAUAAAAAUGUUAUGUUGAUGUACCUGUAUAGCAACGGCUAAACCAUCGGCAAGAAGGGAUGAUGUCAUCCAAACCUGAAGGCAAGUUUGGAAUGCAGCCAUUGGAAUUGGACCUAACCUUGCUGCUAAUGAGGCUGAUAAGGUCACACAGAAUGUCACUGCUAUAACUCUGGCCAACAACAGACCACCUAUUGAAAUUGAAAACAAAUUCCAACAUAUAAAUUUUACUUAUCUUCCGGCCAAACUCUGAUUACCGGAGUUCCUUUCUCUUUGGAACUGGAGGGUUAAGACCAAUGGUCGUCUUUUGACCGGAAAAAUAUUUUGUUGUGAUGGUGAAUUUUUUUUUUUUUUUAUCUAUUUCUUAUUUUUAAUAGAGUAGAGUGAGAUUUCAAUUAAAAUAUAGACUCUAAUACAAACAUACUAUAUUUAUUUAAUGUACUCCAUCAUACCAUUUU
Long non-coding RNA from Trifolium pratense (red clover), 2506 nucleotides. RefSeq lists it as uncharacterized. NCBI's taxonomy places the organism in Eukaryota, Viridiplantae, Streptophyta, Magnoliopsida, Fabales, Fabaceae. The transcript is spliced from 3 exons. The record is from RefSeq and is a predicted model, not a curated record.